RNAcentral lists this ribosomal RNA (792 nucleotides) under Triticum aestivum (bread wheat). RNAcentral's name for it is "partial small subunit ribosomal RNA". The record is from RNAcentral. Lineage: Eukaryota; Viridiplantae; Streptophyta; Magnoliopsida; Poales; Poaceae.
AUGACUUGGGGUUUCAUCAUCACGCCAGAAACUUUGAACCAAAUAGUCGUGUAUGAUGCAGUACGAUGUGCCAAAGUUAUCCUGGUUGGUAAGCAUCCUGAGCUUCACGGGUUCCGAGCCAAUCCCAACUGCAUGACACGAUAUGGGUUCUUUCCCCUCCACCGAGCUGCUGAUAUGUUCUCUGUUGAUAUGAUUGAGUUGCUCUUGCGCCAUGGUGCGUCGGCCAAUUUACGCACAUCUGGUGAUGUGGUCACCGGUAACCUACUCCCACUCCAUGUUGCGGUUGAGAACACUUGCAUGCAUAAGUACCUUGAGGACAGUCUGAAUCCUAAUCAACAGCAAGUGGGCUGGAGCCAGGCAGAUUUCAACUAUAUCCUCAAGCUUAUUCACGUCCUGUGCCUACCCGAAAUGAAACUCUUCUUGGAUACGACUAGGCUGCUAGCCAACCACACAGAUAAUCUGUUAGAUGAGCUCUGCAAGUACAUAGGAGAUGGAAAGAUCGUCCAUGCAGUUGUUUUGCUCCUAGCAGCUCAAAAGCAGAUCCGCGGGCUAUCUUCCUGCAAGGAUGGGGGGAGUAGUAAGCGAGAUGGGUUUGGUACUAUCACUAACUAUGUUCUGGACAACAUUACUGCUAUAAGUUUGGAGAUGUGCAAAAACACACUGGAAAUGGAGCCACUAGAUGUGAAAAAUAAGCUUUUUUAUGUUACAUUGAAUCUUGUUCAUGUAAUUUCUAAAGCUGGUGAAGCUCUUGAUGCUUACAUGCAGUCUCAUCCGAAGGUAAAAACCUCGUAG